RNAcentral lists this ribosomal RNA (466 nucleotides) under uncultured bacterium. RNAcentral's name for it is "partial 16S ribosomal RNA". It matches the Rfam family "Bacterial small subunit ribosomal RNA", at positions 28 to 507 of the family's 1533-position model. The record is from RNAcentral.
GAUGAACGCUGGCGGCGUGCUUAACACAUGCAAGUCGAACGGAAAGGCUCCUGCUUGCAGGGGUACUCGAGUGGCGAACGGGUGAGUAACACGUGGGUGAUCUGCCCAGCACUUCGGGAUAAGCCUGGGAAACUGGGUCUAAUACCGGAUAGGACGAUGGUUUGGAUUCCAUUGUGGAAAGUUUUUUCGGUGUGGGAUGAGCUCGCGGCCUAUCAGCUUGUUGGUGGGGUAAUGGCCUACCAAGGCGUCGACGGGUAGCCGGCCUGAGAGGGUGUACGGCCACAUUGGGACUGAGAUACGGCCCAGACUCCUACGGGAGGCAGCAGUGGGGAAUAUUGCACAAUGGGCGCAAGCCUGAUGCAGCGACGCCGCGUGGGGGAUGACGGCCUUCGGGUUGUAAACUCCUUUCGCUAGGGACGAAGCGCAAGUGACGGUACCUGGAGAAGAAGCACCGGCUAACUACGUG